AUGCCCCAUUUUUUAAGGCUGUUGUGCAGGUGAAAGAACACAGCAACUCUGGGUAGGUGUAUAGGCAAACACUUACAACAUGGACCUCUCCCAUUUGCCUUGUCU
Molecule: long non-coding RNA, 105 nt
Organism: Thalassophryne amazonica
Lineage: Eukaryota; Metazoa; Chordata; Actinopteri; Batrachoidiformes; Batrachoididae
Exons: 3
Source: RefSeq, a predicted model, not a curated record